GAUGAACGCUGGCGGCGUGCCUAAUACAUGCAAGUCGAGCGAACAGACGAGGAGCUUGCUCCUUUGACGUUAGCGGCGGACGGGUGAGUAACACGUGGAUAACCUACCUAUAAGACUGGGAUAACUUCGGGAAACCGGAGCUAAUACCGGAUAACAUGUUGAACCGCAUGGUUCAACAGUGAAAGACGGUCUUGCUGUCACUUAUAGAUGGAUCCGCGCCGCAUUAGCUAGUUGGUAAGGUAACGGCUCACCAAGGCAACGAUGCGUAGCCGACCUGAGAGGGUGAUCGGCCACACUGGAACUGAGACACGGUCCAGACUCCUACGGGAGGCAGCAGUAGGGAAUCUUCCGCAAUGGGCGAAAGCCUGACGGAGCAACGCCGCGUGAGUGAAGAAGGUCUUCGGAUCGUAAAACUCUGUUAUUAGGGAAGAACAAAUGUGUAAGUAACUAUGCACGUCUUGACGGUACCUAAUCAGAAAGCCACGGCUAACUACGUG
RNAcentral lists this ribosomal RNA (497 nucleotides) under uncultured bacterium. RNAcentral describes it as "partial 16S ribosomal RNA". It matches the Rfam family "Bacterial small subunit ribosomal RNA", at positions 28 to 507 of the family's 1533-position model. The record is from RNAcentral.